This 497-nucleotide ribosomal RNA is filed under the name uncultured bacterium. RNAcentral describes it as "partial 16S ribosomal RNA". It matches the Rfam family "Bacterial small subunit ribosomal RNA", at positions 28 to 507 of the family's 1533-position model. The record is from RNAcentral.
GAUGAACGCUGGCGGCGUGCCUAAUACAUGCAAGUCGAGCGAACGGACGAGAAGCUUGCUUCUCUGAUGUUAGCGGCGGACGGGUGAGUAACACGUGGAUAACCUACCUAUAAGACUGGGAUAACUUCGGGAAACCGGAGCUAAUACCGGAUGAUAUUUUGAACCGCAUGGUUCAAAAGUGAAUGACGGUCUUGCUGUCACUUAUAGAUGGAUCCGCGCUGCAUUAGCUAGUUGGUAAGGUAACGGCUUACCAAGGCAACGAUGCAUAGCCGACCUGAGAGGGUGAUCGGCCACACUGGAGCUGAGACACGGUCCAGACUCCUACGGGAGGCCGCGGUAGGGAAUCUUGCGCGAUGGGCGGAAGCCUGACGGAGCAACGCCGCGUGAGUGCUGCAGGUCUUCGGAUCGUAAAACUCUGUUAUUAGGGAAGAACAUAUGUGUAAGUAACUGUGCACAGCUUGACGGUACCUAAUCAGAAAGCCCCGGCUAACUACGUG